Molecule: ribosomal RNA, 253 nt
Filed under: uncultured bacterium
Lineage: Bacteria
Description: partial 16S ribosomal RNA
Rfam family: Bacterial small subunit ribosomal RNA
Source: RNAcentral
UACGAAGGGGGCUAGCGUUGUUCGGAAUUACUGGGCGUAAAGCGCACGUAGGCGGAUAUUUAAGUCAGGGGUGAAAUCCCGGGGCUCAACCUCGGAACUGCCUUUGAUACUGGGUAUCUUGAGUAUGGAAGAGGUAAGUGGAAUUGCGAGUGUAGAGGUGAAAUUCGUAGAUAUUCGCAGGAACACCAGUGGCGAAGGCGGCUUACUGGUCCAUUACUGACGCUGAGGUGCGAAAGCGUGGGGAGCGAACGGG